GCUCCCUUAGUAUAGCCUGGAUAGUACGUAGCCUUGCGGAGGCUAAAACCAGGGUUCAAAUCCCUGAGGGAGCG
RNAcentral lists this transfer RNA (74 nucleotides) under Candidatus Woesearchaeota archaeon. RNAcentral describes it as "tRNA-Arg". It matches the Rfam family "tRNA". From Rfam's summary of the family: Transfer RNA (tRNA) molecules are approximately 80 nucleotides in length. The record is from RNAcentral. Lineage: Archaea; Nanobdellati; Candidatus Woesearchaeota.